GGAAGUAAAAGUCGUAACAAGGUCUCCGUUGGUGAACCAGCGGAGGGAUCAUUAAAGAGUUGCAAAAACUCCCUACAAACCAUCGCGAACGCUACCCCAGACGUCGUUGCUUCGGCGGGCCUGCCCGCCGGGGGGACGCCCACACAGGCUCUUUGCAGUUACCCGGCCUCUCUGAGUUUGAUUAUACCAAAUCAGUCAAAACUUUCAACAACGGAUCUCUUGGUUCUGGCAUCGAUGAAGAACGCAGCGAAAUGCGAUAAGUAAUGUGAAUUGCAGAAUUCAGUGAAUCAUCGAAUCUUUGAACGCACAUUGCGCCCGCCAGCACUCUGGCGGGCAUGCCUGUUCGAGCGUCAUUUCAACCCACCAAGCCCUGCUUGUGCUGGGGCCCUGCGGCUGCCCGCAGGCCCUGAAAACCAGUGGCGGGCUCGCUAGUCACACCGAGCGCAGUAGCACACUUCUCGCUCAGGGCGUGCGGCGGGCUCUUGCCGUGAAGCCCCCCCCAAACUCCAAAGGUUGACCUCGGAUCAGGUAGGAAUACCCGCUGAACUUAAGCAUAUCAAUAAGCGGAGGA
Molecule: ribosomal RNA, 571 nt
Filed under: Chaetothyriales sp. AR-2010
Lineage: Eukaryota; Fungi; Ascomycota; Eurotiomycetes; Chaetothyriales
Description: eukaryotic LSU rRNA
Rfam family: 5.8S ribosomal RNA (bases 200-353)
Source: RNAcentral